GCUUCAUUAGGGCUUAGUGAUAGGCUGAGAAACACUAUAUAUUGUCUGUGUAUUGAUGAGUGUGCUAGCGCUUACAGAGGCACUGAGAAGGCUUUUAACCCUGAGAUACGUUAAGAUGAAGACUUUCAGCAUGAAGAUUGCUGUUCUACUUGGAUUUGUGAUGCUUCUCUCUAUUGCUCUGGCUGAGCAUGACCAUGGCCAUCAGCAUAUCAUUGAGAAGCGCUCUUCAAGUGAAGAGCGUGGCCGUGGCCCUGGCCGUGGCUUUCCAAACUUUCUCCAGCAGUACAACUACUUUCUGCUUCUGCAAAGACUUGGUCUUUUCCCAGCCCCUGCAGCCCCGGCCCCUGCAGCACCUGCCCCUGCAGCACCGGCCCCAGCCCCAGCUCCAGCUCCAGCUCCAGCUGGUCGCUGAGAAAGGACAUGAAUCAGAACCUUCAACUCAACAAGAGCAAGCUGUGGUUGCUGAAGUGACCAGAACAUUAACUGACACUAAGUACUGCAAUAGCUGAUUUCCAUAUUUUGCUUGAGUUUCCCUUUAAUGUACUUGCUGUAUGUCUGUCUGCAAUGCAAUAAAGUGGAUUUGAAAUGGCAUA
Molecule: long non-coding RNA, 593 nt
Filed under: Salmo salar (Atlantic salmon)
Lineage: Eukaryota; Metazoa; Chordata; Actinopteri; Salmoniformes; Salmonidae
Description: lncRNA (ENSSSAG00000099022.1)
Source: RNAcentral